AGUGAACGCUGGCGGUAGGCCUAACACAUGCAAGUCGAACGGCAGCACAGUAAGAGCUUGCUCUUACGGGUGGCGAGUGGCGGACGGGUGAGGAAUACAUCGGAAUCUACUUUUUCGUGGGGGAUAACGUAGGGAAACUUACGCUAAUACCGCAUACGACCUACGGGUGAAAGCAGGGGAUCUUCGGACCUUGCGCGAUUGAAUGAGCCGAUGUCGGAUUAGAUAGUUGGCGGGGUAAAGGCACACCAAGGCGACGAUCCGUAGCUGGUCUGAGAGGAUGAUCGGCCACACUGGAACUGAGACACGGUCCAGACUCCUACGGGAGGCAGCAGUGGGGAAUAUUGGACAAUGGGCGCAAGCCUGAUCCAGCCAUGCCGCGUGGGUGAAGAAGGCCUUCGGGUUGUAAAGCCCUUUUGUUGGGAAAGAAAAGCAGCAGAUGAAUACCCCGCUGUUCUGACGGUACCCAAAGAAUAAGCACCGGCUAACUUCGUG
Molecule: ribosomal RNA, 492 nt
Filed under: uncultured bacterium
Lineage: Bacteria
Description: partial 16S ribosomal RNA
Rfam family: Bacterial small subunit ribosomal RNA
Source: RNAcentral